GCUUUUAAUGGAUAAUAGUCCUCCGCCAGCUUUAGGAGCUGAACAUCUUGGUGCAACUCCGAGUGAAAGCA
This 71-nucleotide transfer RNA is filed under the name Osteolaemus cf. tetraspis. RNAcentral's name for it is "tRNA-Leu". It matches the Rfam family "tRNA". Rfam says of the family: Transfer RNA (tRNA) molecules are approximately 80 nucleotides in length. The record is from RNAcentral. Lineage: Eukaryota; Metazoa; Chordata; Crocodylia; Crocodylidae.